This 1521-nucleotide long non-coding RNA is filed under the name Mus musculus (house mouse). Its description in RNAcentral is "long non-coding RNA chr2:157463549-157465070". Lineage: Eukaryota; Metazoa; Chordata; Mammalia; Rodentia; Muridae. The record is from RNAcentral.
ACACACACACACACACACACACACACACACACACACACCCGUGUGCUGUGCACAGUACACAGGGAUGAUGGGUGUGUGGUGUGUGUGUGGUGUGGUGUGUGGGUGGGUGUGUGUGUGUGGUGUGGUGUGCUCGCUCACUGUUGGGGUUGGGCAGUGUUGCUGGAGUGAAAUGUGGCGAGGUCCCGGUUCCUGGGGCUUGGGGGUAUGGGCAAAUGUGAGAAUGUGGGCUCUGGGCAUAGGUAUGCCGUCAGCGGAGCCUUCUGUGUGCACAUGAAGUGGGCAGUCAGUCUGUAGAAAACAUGACUUCCCAAGGGUUGCCUUGAGACAGGUUAGGGUGGGUCCCAGGCCUAGUUCUCCCUGACUCACUUAUGUUACCAGAAGAUCACAUUUACCUAAUGACGUCCAGUGGGGCUCCAGGGGCCUCAUCAGUGAGUGGUGGACAGUCCGUCAGUCCUUCCACUCAGAACUGCCAGCUACAUGGCAGGCCGCUGGACCCUGCACCCCGCCUGCCUCUCCCCAGGCUAUCCAGGCUAUCCAGGCUAUCCAGGCUUUAGUUAACAAAGGUUUCUGUUGAGGACAUUCUUAGCUGCAGGUUUUCUAGGCUCCAGAGAGGCAGCGCAGGGGCAAGGGCUGCAGGCCACACUCAGGAUGUACCUCCUGCCCUGGACUAAUUACUCACAGGUCCACACAGCCAGCCGCUACUCCUGUCUGCUCAGCUGGUGUCCAGUAGGCAGAACAGGGCAGGCAGGCACGGGGUGGGUAUACCUGGAGAGGGCCAGCAUUUAUGGAGUGCUUGCUGAGUACCGUGUGACUCUUCACGGUUGUCUCAUUGUGUAGGGAGGAAACAGGGCAAGCAGCAACUUGUCAGGGUCACACAGUUGUGAGCACCUUGGGGUUCAGGUGUCUUACCAGGGCUGUGAGGCACAGGGGCAUGUCUGCCAUUGGGGUUUUGUGCCUACACGGCUGCCCUGCUCCUCUCAGCACACUAGGGGCUGAAAGAGAGUGGGACUAAGUCACUUCCUCAAGCAAGGAACACACUAGCAGGGUACCUCUGGGGUCUCCUCCCUGCCUACCCACAGGUGCCUACUGCCUCUCUGUAUCCGACUUCGACAAUGCCAAGGGCCUAAAUGUGAAACACUACAAGAUCCGCAAGCUGGACAGCGGCGGUUUCUACAUCACCUCCCGCACCCAGUUCAACAGCCUGCAGCAGCUCGUGGCUUACUACUCCAGUGAGUGUCCCCGGCCGGCCGUGUGGGGACUCGCCCAGGGGAGCAGGGUGUCUGCCGUGCCUCCUCACCCCUGGGAUGCCUCUUCCCUCCCUGCCUCUCCUCCAUCUCCUCCCUUCUCCCCUUGCUCCCUGCCCAGCCCCCCUCUUCUCCUUCCGCUGCAGCUGGCCAGUGAGGAGGGGGCCUGCCUUGAGCACGCUAGAAGGGAGGGGCUAGAGGCUGGUGUUGAUUGUUUCUGCAGCCCUAAGACUGGUCUGAACCGGUUCCUGGGAGAGAAGGAGGGGGAGGCUUCUUU